UUCGUUGCAACAGAACAAGGAAAAGGUUAUACAGUUUAAAAUCGCACAUAAAUUUUGAAGACGGUUCCGUGGCCGAAUGAUUAGCGCUAUUGACUCACAGUCAGCUACUAUCUGUUGGAUUAUGACUGAACGCCUCUAAGUCAGAAUCCUUGCUAGAACGCAACGAUAAUUACCUCCGGAGAAUCUUAGGCGAACAAGGAUAGAGAACGGGCUUGCCCGCUCUCCUGCGUCCCAAUGUGCCAAGAGGGACAACAACCCUCAAGGCACUAAAGUAUAUCAAAGUUUAAAAUUUCUGGAGAUAAAUCCUUUGCAGACGACUUAAAUAAAGAACGGGGUAUUGUACGUUGUAGAGUAGCCUUGUUGCUACGAUCUUCUGAGAUUAAGCCUUUGUUCUACGAUUU
RNAcentral lists this non-coding RNA (401 nucleotides) under Nematostella vectensis (starlet sea anemone). RNAcentral describes it as "Eukaryotic large subunit ribosomal RNA". It matches the Rfam family "Eukaryotic large subunit ribosomal RNA", at positions 3007 to 3399 of the family's 3401-position model. Lineage: Eukaryota; Metazoa; Cnidaria; Anthozoa; Actiniaria; Edwardsiidae. The record is from Rfam by way of RNAcentral.